AUCUACCUGACGAGUCCCAAAUAGGAAAAAACGCGCGUCCUGGAU
This 45-nucleotide non-coding RNA is filed under the name Schistosoma bovis. RNAcentral also lists the same sequence under 1 other name. Lineage: Eukaryota; Metazoa; Platyhelminthes; Trematoda; Strigeidida; Schistosomatidae. The record is from RNAcentral.